UACGUAGGGUGCAAGCGUUAAUCGGAAUUACUGGGCGUAAAGCGUGCGUAGACGGUUAUGUAAGUCAGAUGUGAAAGCCCCGGGCUCAACCUGGGAAUUGCAUUUGAGACUGCAUAGCUAGGGUGCGGAAGAGGGAAGCGGAAUUUCCGGUGUAGCGGUGAAAUGCGUAGAUAUCGUAAGGAAGACCAGUGGCGAAGGCGGGUCUCUGGACAGUUCCUGACGCUGAGGCACGAAGGUCAGGGGAGCAAACGGG
This 253-nucleotide ribosomal RNA is filed under the name uncultured bacterium. RNAcentral's name for it is "partial 16S ribosomal RNA". It matches the Rfam family "Bacterial small subunit ribosomal RNA", at positions 524 to 776 of the family's 1533-position model. The record is from RNAcentral.